CCUACGGGAGGCAGCAGUGGGGAAUAUUGGACAAUGGGGGGAACCCUGAUCCAGCGACGCCGCGUGAGUGAAGAAGUAUUUCGGUAUGUAAAGCCCUAUCAGCAGGGAAGAAAGAAAUGACGGUACCUGACGAAGAAGCCCCGGCUAACUACGUGCCAGCAGCCGCGGUAAUACGUAGGGCGCAAGCGUUAUCCGGAUUUACUGGGUGUAAAGGGAGCGUAGACGGCGAUGCAAGUCUGAAGUGAAAGGCGGGGGCCCAACCUCCGGACUGCUUUGGAAACUGUAUGGCUGGAGUGCAGGAGAGGUAAGUGGAAUGCCUGGUGUAGCGGUGAAAUGCGUAGAUAUUAGGAAGAACACCAGUGGCGAAGGCGGCUUACUGGACUGUAACUGACGUUGAGGCUCGAAAGCGUGGGGAGCGAACAGGAUUAGAUACCCUAGUAGUC
RNAcentral lists this ribosomal RNA (443 nucleotides) under uncultured bacterium. RNAcentral's name for it is "partial 16S ribosomal RNA". It matches the Rfam family "Bacterial small subunit ribosomal RNA", at positions 338 to 795 of the family's 1533-position model. The record is from RNAcentral.